This 497-nucleotide ribosomal RNA is filed under the name uncultured bacterium. RNAcentral's name for it is "partial 16S ribosomal RNA". It matches the Rfam family "Bacterial small subunit ribosomal RNA", at positions 28 to 507 of the family's 1533-position model. The record is from RNAcentral.
GAUGAACGCUGGCGGCGUGCCUAAUACAUGCAAGUCGAGCGAACAGACGAGGAGCUUGCUCCUCUGACGUUAGCGGCGGACGGGUGAGUAACACGUGGAUAACCUACCUAUAAGACUGGGAUAACUUCGGGAAACCGGAGCUAAUACCGGAUAAUAUAUUGAACCGCAUGGUUCAAUAGUGAAAGACGGUUUUGCUGUCACUUAUAGAUGGAUCCGCGCUGCAUUAGCUAGUUGGUAAGGUAACGGCUUACCAAGGCAACGAUGCGUAGCCGACCUGAGAGGGUGAUCGGCCACACUGGAACUGAGACACGGUCCAGACUCCUACGGGAGGCAGCAGUAGGGAAUCUUCCGCAAUGGGCGAAAGCCUGACGGAGCAACGCCGCGUGAGGGAUGAAGGUCUUCGGAUCGUAAAACUCUGUUAUUAGGGAAGAACAAAUGUGUAAGUAACUAUGCACGUCUUGACGGUACCUAAUCAGAAAGCCACGGCUAACUACGUG